CAGCACCUCAAGUGGUCAGGAUGAUUAUUGGGCCUAAAGCAUCCGUAGCCGGCGCUGUAAGUUUUCGGUUAAAUCUGUACGCUCAACGUACAGGCUGCCGGGAAUACUGCAGCGCUAGGGAGUGGGAGAGGUAGACGGUACUCGGUAGGAAGGGGUAAAAUCCUUUGAUCUAUUGAUGACCACCUGUGGCGAAGGCGGUCUACCAGAACACAUCCGACGGUGAGGGAUGAAAGCUGGGGGAGCAAACCGGAUUAGAUACCCGAGUAGUCC
This 270-nucleotide ribosomal RNA is filed under the name uncultured archaeon. Its description in RNAcentral is "partial 16S ribosomal RNA". It matches the Rfam family "Archaeal small subunit ribosomal RNA", at positions 477 to 747 of the family's 1478-position model. The record is from RNAcentral.